Molecule: ribosomal RNA, 253 nt
Filed under: uncultured bacterium
Lineage: Bacteria
Description: partial 16S ribosomal RNA
Rfam family: Bacterial small subunit ribosomal RNA
Source: RNAcentral
UACGUAGGCAGCAAGCGUUGUUCGGAGUUACUGGGCGUAAAGGGUGUGUAGGCGGUUCUUUAAGUUUGGUGUGAAAUCUCCCGGCUUAACCGGGAGGGUGCGGUGAAUACUGAGGGACUAGAGUACGGGAGAGGAAAGUGGAAUUCCUGGUGUAGCGGUGAAAUGCGUAGAUAUCAGGAGGAACACCGGUGGUGUAGACGGCUUUCUGGACCGACACUGACGCUGAGACACGAAAGCGUGGGUAGCAAACAGG